CUUGAACGCUGGCGGCAGGCCUAACACAUGCAAGUCGAGCGGAGCGGCGGACGGGUGAGUAAUGCCUAGGAAUCUGCCUGGUAGUGGGGGCUACAGUCCGGAAACGGGCGCUAAUACCGCAUCAUAUCAGAUGCACCUAGGUCGGAUUAGCUAUGUGGUGGGGUAAAGGCCUACAAAGGCGACGAUCCGUAACUGGUCUGAGAGGAUGAUCAGUCACACUGGAACUGAGACACGGGCCAGAGUCCUACGGGAGGCAGCAGUGGGGAAUAUUGGACAAUGGGCGAAAGCCUGAGCCAGCCAUGCUGCGUGUGUGAAGAAGGUCUUCGGAUUGUAAAGCACUUUAAGUUGGGAGGCGUUACCAACAGAAUAAGCACCGGCUAACUUCGUGCCAGCAGCCGCGGUAAUAC
This 407-nucleotide ribosomal RNA is filed under the name uncultured bacterium. Its description in RNAcentral is "partial 16S ribosomal RNA". It matches the Rfam family "Bacterial small subunit ribosomal RNA", at positions 30 to 526 of the family's 1533-position model. The record is from RNAcentral.